UGCGCAGGCGGCCGUGUGUGUGAGGCGUGAAAGCCCGGAGCUCAACUCCGGAAUUGCACCUCAAACUACACGGCUAGAGCAUUGGAGAGGGUAGCAGAAUUCACGGUGUAGCAGUGAAAUGCGUAGAUAUCGUGAGGAAUACCAGAGGCGAAGGCGGCUACCUGGACAAUUGCUGACGCUCAGGCACGAAAGCGUGGGGAGCAAAAGGGAUUAGAUACCCCUGUAGUCCACGCCCUAAACGGUGCACACUAGGUCUUGGCGGAUUCGACCCCCCCAGGGCCCAAGCUAACGCGUUAAGUGUGCCGCCUGAGGACUACGGCCGCAAGGCUAAA
Molecule: ribosomal RNA, 332 nt
Filed under: uncultured bacterium
Lineage: Bacteria
Description: bacterial SSU rRNA
Rfam family: Bacterial small subunit ribosomal RNA
Source: RNAcentral